This 1966-nucleotide long non-coding RNA is filed under the name Nicotiana tabacum (common tobacco). RNAcentral's name for it is "long non-coding RNA (NTAB_LNC017969)". The record is from RNAcentral. Lineage: Eukaryota; Viridiplantae; Streptophyta; Magnoliopsida; Solanales; Solanaceae.
AUCUCUCUUUCUCAAACCCUAGCCGCCCAAAAACCGUCUGCCGGCGGCUCCACCCCAAACACUUAGAGGUGAAGAAAACAGGUCUGUUGUGUUAAAUGCCAACGUUUUCUAUACGAUAUUUGUUGUGUUAAAUUCUAGUUUCGUAUGAAAAAUAUGGAUCUAAGUAGGCACACUAAUAUAUUCUUAAAGAUGACUGUUCUUUUAAUCUUUUGUUAGGCCACAUAUUAUGAUUGAGGCCAUGGCCUCUCCCUUUGAGUUAUACGAAAUUGGGCUUCAAGUCCAGCCCACUUGUACUUACACAUGAUUCCUUGAGACUAGAAUAUGCAUCAAGUGAUAGGCACUGUUUUACCCCCCUAGUGUUUCAUUAAUUAAUUUCUUUUUCCUUCUUUUUAAGUAGUAUACACUCAUUCAAAUUAUUCCCAUAAUGAACAACCUUUCAUAUGAAAUCUUGAAUCUAGGAAAUUGUUGAACCUUCGUAUUCUGUUUCCACGCCCCACCCUUACAAUCUACUAGCCCAAUGUUCUAUGAAAGGGAUCCAGUUCAUGUAAACUCAAACGUAAGCCCAUGAUGAACCUUAAGGAAAGAACCACUUAGCUUAAAUAUUGCUGGGCUUAUUUGAUACAAACAUAUCACUUCCAACAUUUAUGCCACAACUUCGAACAUCAACAUUGGAAUACAAAAUUUAGGUAGGUAAUGAAUUCUUGAAUAUCCGUAGUUUGCUUUAGGCGCGAUUAAUAAAUCAUUGUAAUUAUGGGUACGGUUCCCGUGGCAUGGUCACGAUACAUAAAUCCCAAUUCAAGUGCGUGUUUCACGCGACUUGACCUCAACUUCAAAUAAUAAUAAAAAUAGACAUGUUGUAAAUCACGGAUGCGUUUCACGUGGCGCGAUUUGCAAUAUGUACAAAAAUAGAGAGUGCGCAAUAUCGCGACUUGUUCAAAUAAAUUUCAUAAAUAUUAAAAACGGUUAGAAAGUAAAAAUGCACAUAAGUCUUUAAACACAUGUAACCGGAUAAUUAAGUCAGGUAUUAAUUGUUAAGCGACCGUGCUAAAACCACAAAACUCGGGAGUGCCUCACACCUUCUCUCGGGUUAACAGAAUUUCUUACUCGACCUUCUGUGUUCGUGGACCAUAAAUAGAGUCAACUUCCUUGAUUUGAGAUUUUAAAAUAAACUGGUGACUUGGGAUAUCAUAAUAAAUAUUUCAAGUGGCGACUCUAAUUAAAUAAACAAUCUCAUUUCGAAUAAUGUCACUUUAAUUGGAAAAACUCUCUAUUUUUUGAAAAAAGGAGGUGUGACACUAACAAUUAUGUUCAAUUACAUUCAAAGUGUAGUAAUUAGAGUGUAAAAUAUAGUUAAAACAUGAGUUCUUAGCCUACCAUCAGUUUCAAAACUUUUAUAGACACAUCAAUAUUAUAAUAUAUUUAAAAUCACAGUGUAUACGGUCAAAAUAGGUUUCGGCCUUCGUACGUUUGAUCGAGUUCGAAACAUAAUCGAUCGAAGUGAGACUUCGAGAUGGGUUCCGAAGAUGGUACAAACAAGCUUCGAGCCCGAGAGGCCGAUCAAUGUCGAGCUCGAUAUCAUUAUCAAGCUCGAAUCUAAAUCGAACUAUGAUGCAAAGUAAAGUUAUUGAGCUUAUGAUCCAGAGACCGACCAACAUUCACCCCGAAUCAAUUCAAGGGUCCGAGUCAGAAUCGAGCUCAAGCCAAGAUCGAGAGCUCGUGUCAAUAUCGAGCUCAUAGACAAGAGUUGUUGCAAUCUCACUAGAGGAGAGAAUCUUGGCAGGAAUUGUGGAAAAACUGAUUUAUCAUGGGUCUCCCACUGUGUAUUUUUAAUUAUAUCUAAAGUAAGAUCUCUCUACUAUAAAGGGGAUGGUUAUCAUUUCUAUAGAGGGCAAGUUUUUUUGCUUACAUUGUAAUUCAAGCACCAUAUUCUCCUAUAGUGAAGAGUUGUUCUUUCAAGCUUCUUAAA